This 439-nucleotide ribosomal RNA is filed under the name uncultured bacterium. RNAcentral describes it as "partial 16S ribosomal RNA". It matches the Rfam family "Bacterial small subunit ribosomal RNA", at positions 338 to 795 of the family's 1533-position model. The record is from RNAcentral.
CCUACGGGAGGCAGCAGUAGGGAAUCUUUCACAAUGGGCGAAAGCCUGAUGGAGCAACGCCGCGUGCAGGAUGAAGGCCUUCGGGUUGUAAACUGCUUUUAUAAGCGAGAAAUAUGAUGGUAACUUCUGAAUAAGGAUCGGCUAACUACGUGCCAGCAGCCGCGGUAAUACGUAGGGAGCGAGCGUUGUCCGGAAUUACUGGGUGUAAAGGGAGCGUAGGCGGGACUGCAAGUUGGGGGUCAAAUCUACCGGCUCAACCGGUAGCCGCACUCAAAACUGCAGUUCUUGAGUGAAGUAGAGGCAGGCGGAAUUCCUAGUGUAGCGGUGAAAUGCGUAGAUAUUAGGAGGAACACCAGUGGCGAAGGCGGCCUGCUGGGCUUUUACUGACGCUGAGGCUCGAAAGUGUGGGGAGCAAACAGGAUUAGAUACCCGUGUAGUC